CAGUCGCCGCGGGAAUACGAAGGUCCCGAGCGUUGUUCGGAAUCACUGGGCGUAAAGGGAGCGUAGGCGGCGUGGUAAGUCAGAUGUGAAAUCCCGGGGCUCAACCCCGGAACUGCAUCCGAUACUGCCAUGCUAGAGGAUUGGAGAGGUAGCUGGAAUUCUUGGUGUAGCAGUGAAAUGCGUGGAGAUAAAGAGGAACACUCGUGGCGAAAGCGAGCUACUGGACAAUAACUGACGCUGAGGCUCGAAGGCCAGGGUAGCGAAAGGGAUUAGAUACCCCCGUAGUCCCUGUCUCUUAUAC
RNAcentral lists this ribosomal RNA (301 nucleotides) under uncultured bacterium. RNAcentral describes it as "partial 16S ribosomal RNA". It matches the Rfam family "Bacterial small subunit ribosomal RNA", at positions 509 to 807 of the family's 1533-position model. The record is from RNAcentral.